CCUACGGGAGGCAGCAGUGAGGAAUAUUGGUCAAUGGCCGGAAGGCUGAACCAGCCAAGCCGCGUGAAGGACGAAGGUGCCAAGCAUUGUAAACUUCUUUUGCCAAGGGACAAAAUCAGGCUCGAGAGCCUGACCGAGGGUACUUGAAGAAAAAGCAUCGGCUAACCACGUGCCAGCAGCCGCGGUAAUACGGAGGAUGCGAGCGUUAUCCGGAUUUAGUGGGUUUAAAGGGUGCGUGGGCGGGCUGUUAAGUCAGCGGUAAAAGCCCGGGGCUCAACCCCGACGAGCCGUUGAAACUGGCUGUCUUGAGAUGUCGAGAGGUAGGCGGAAGGCGAAGUGUAGCGGUGAAAUGCGUAGAGAUUGCGCAGAACUCCGAUUGCGAAGGCAGCAUACCGGCGGCGGUCUGACGCUGAGGCACGAAAGCGUGGGUAUCGAACAGGAUUAGAUACCCUUGUAGUC
Molecule: ribosomal RNA, 459 nt
Filed under: uncultured bacterium
Lineage: Bacteria
Description: partial 16S ribosomal RNA
Rfam family: Bacterial small subunit ribosomal RNA
Source: RNAcentral